RNAcentral lists this ribosomal RNA (492 nucleotides) under uncultured bacterium. RNAcentral's name for it is "partial 16S ribosomal RNA". It matches the Rfam family "Bacterial small subunit ribosomal RNA", at positions 29 to 507 of the family's 1533-position model. The record is from RNAcentral.
AGUGAACGCUGGCGGUAGGCCUAACACAUGCAAGUCGAACGGCAGCACAGUAAGAUCUUGCUCUUACGGGUGGCGAGUGGCGGACGGGUGAGGAAUAAAUCGGAAUCUACUUUUUCGUGGGGGAUAACGUAGGGAAACUUACGCUAAUACCGCAUACCACCUACGGGUGAAUGCAGGGGAUCUUCGGACCUUGCGCGAUUGAAUGAGCCGAUGUCGGAUUAGCUAGUUGGCGGGGUAAAGGCCCACCAAGGCGACGAUCCGUAGCUGGUCUGAGAGGAUGAUCAGCCACACUGGAACUGAGCACCGGUCCAGACUCCUACGGGAGGCAGCAGUGGGGAAUAUUGGACAAUGGGCGAAAGCCUGAUCCAGCCAUACCGCGUGGGUGAAGAAGGCCUUCGGGUUGUAAAGCCCUUUUGUUGGGAAAGAAAAGCAGCAGGUUAAUACCCCGCUGUUCUGACGGUACCCAAAGAAUAAGCACCGGCUAACUUCGUG